RNAcentral lists this ribosomal RNA (407 nucleotides) under uncultured bacterium. Its description in RNAcentral is "partial 16S ribosomal RNA". It matches the Rfam family "Bacterial small subunit ribosomal RNA", at positions 30 to 526 of the family's 1533-position model. The record is from RNAcentral.
AUUGAACGCUAGCUGGAUGCCUUACACAUGCAAGUCGAACGGAGUGUCGAACGGGUGUGUAAUGUAUCGGAACGUGCCCAGUAGCGGGGGAUAACUACGCGAAAGCGUAGCUAAUACCGCAUACUGAUGGAUGGACCCGCGGUGCAUUAGCUAGUUGGUGUGGUAACGGCUCACCAAGGAGACGAUCCGUAGCUGGUUUGAGAGGACGACCAGCCACACUGGGACUGAGACAGGGCCCAGACGCCUACGGGAGGCAGCAGUGGGGAAUUUUGGACAGUGGGGGAAACCCUGAUCCAGCCAUCCCGCGUGUGCGAUGAAGGCCUUCGGGUUGUAAAGAACUUUUGGCAGGAAAGCGGUACCUGCAGAAUAAGCACCGGCUAACUACGUGCCAGCAGCCGCGGUAAUAC